AUUUAAAAAUAAUUUAAAUUUUUUAGAUAAAAAAUUAAAUUUAAAUAAAUAUAUAGGAAUAUAAAGUUUUUAGUAUAAAUUAGAAAAAAUAAAUUUUAAUUAUUUUAUUGUAAAAGUGUUUUUAAAUUAAAAAAAGAAAAUUUAAUUUAUUGUACCUUUUGUAUCAGGGAUUAUUAAUAUAAAGUAUUAUAAUUAAUAUUUCUCGAAUUAAAAAGAGUUAAUUUAAUAUUAUAGUUAAUGUGUAAAAAUUAUUAUUAAUAUUAGAUUUGAAGUGAAAUGCUAAUCGAUUUUUAAGAUAUCUAGUUUUUUAAUAUAAAAAUUUAAUUUUUUUAUAAAUUUAAUUAUAAAUUAUUUUAAAAUUUGUAAUUAUUUUAUAAUUUAUAAUUUGUGGGAUUAUCUACAAAUUUAGAUUAAAUAAUUUUUUAAUUAGUUAAAAAUUUAGAGAUUAAAAUUUUUAAAUUUAAGAGUAUGUAAUAAUUUAUUAUUUAAUGAAAAUUUAAUUUUUAAAUUAUUAAUUUAUUAUUAAAAUAAAAUUAUGAAUUUUAUAAAAUUUAUAAUAAUGAUAAUAUAAGUAUAAUAAUAUGUUAAAUUAAUUAAAUUAAUAAAUUAAUUUAAGGAAUUAAGCAAAAUUUAAAAUUCACUUGUUUAUCAAAAACAUGUUUUUUUGAUAUUAAUAAAAAAUUUUCUCUGCCCAAUGAAGAAUUAAAUGGCCGCAGUAUUUUGACUGUGCAAAGGUAGCAUAAUAAAUAGUUUUUUAAUUGAAGACUUGAAUGAAUGAGAGGAUGAAAUUUUAACUGUCUCAAUUUAAUUAUAAAAUUUUAUUUUAAGUAAAAAUUCUUAAAUUAAUUUAAGGGACGAGAAGACCCUAUAGAAUUUAAAAAUUUAAAUUAAUUUAAGAAUUAAAAUUAAGUUUGAUUUAAUUAUAAAUUUUUUUAUUGGGAUGAUAUUAAAAUUUAAAUAACUUUUAAUUGUUUAAUUCAAUAAUGUAUGAAUUAUAGAAUAUUUUAAUAAUAAUAAGAUAAAAUUACCUUAGGGAUAACAGCGUAAUAAAUUUUUAAAGUUCAAAUUAAAAAAUUUGAUUGCGACCUCGAUGUUGAAUUAAAAUAAAAUUUAAGUGAAGAAGCUUAAAAUUUGAGUCUGUUCGACUUUUAAAAUUUUACAUGAUUUG
RNAcentral lists this ribosomal RNA (1168 nucleotides) under Chrysis sp. VS153. RNAcentral describes it as "partial 16S ribosomal RNA". Lineage: Eukaryota; Metazoa; Arthropoda; Insecta; Hymenoptera; Chrysididae. The record is from RNAcentral.